GACGGGGGAUGCAAGUGUUAUCCGGAAUCACUGGGCGUAAAGCGUCUGCAGGUGGUUUCCUAAGUCCACUGUUAAACCUUGAGGCUCAACCUCAAAUCUGCAUUGGAAACUAGGAGACUUGAGUAUAGUAGGGGUAGAGGGAAUUUCCGGUGGAGCGGUGAAAUGCGUAGAUAUUGGAAAGAACACCGAUGGCGAAGGCACUCUACUGGGCUAUUACUGACACUCAGAGACGAAAGCUAGGGGAGCAAAUGGG
This 253-nucleotide ribosomal RNA is filed under the name uncultured bacterium. RNAcentral's name for it is "partial 16S ribosomal RNA". It matches the Rfam family "Bacterial small subunit ribosomal RNA", at positions 524 to 776 of the family's 1533-position model. The record is from RNAcentral.